UACGGAGGGUGCAAGCGUUAUCCGGAUUCACUGGGUUUAAAGGGUGCGUAGGCGGCUCGGCACGUCCGUUGUGAAAUCGCCCGGCUCAACUGGGCGGGGUCAGCGGAUACGGCCGAGCUGGAGCAAGCUAGGGGGUAAUGGAAUUCCCGGUGUAGUGGUGGAAUGCGUAGAUAUCGGGAGGAACACCAGUGGCGAAGGCGGUUACCUGGAGCUUUGCUGACGCUGAUGCGCGAAAGCGUGGGGAGCGAUCCGG
RNAcentral lists this ribosomal RNA (253 nucleotides) under uncultured bacterium. RNAcentral describes it as "partial 16S ribosomal RNA". It matches the Rfam family "Bacterial small subunit ribosomal RNA", at positions 524 to 776 of the family's 1533-position model. The record is from RNAcentral.